UGAUUAGUGGCGGACGGGUGAGUAACAUUUAGGAAUCUGCCUAGUAGUGGGGGAUAGCUCGGGGAAACUCGAAUUAAUACCGCAUACGACCUACGGGUGAAAGGGGGCGCAAGCUCUUGCUAUUAGAUGAGCCUAAAUCAGAUUAGCUAGUUGGUGGGGUAAAGGCCCACCAAGGCGACGAUCUGUAACUGGUCUGAGAGGAUGAUCAGUCACACCGGAACUGAGACACGGUCCGGACUCCUACGGGAGGCAGCAGUGGGGAAUAUUGGACAAUGGGGGCAACCCUGAUCCAGCCAUGCCGCGUGUGUGAAGAAGGCCUUUUGGUUGUAAAGCACUUUAAGCAGGGAGGAGAGGCUAAUGGUUAAUACCCAUUAGAUUAGACGUUACCUGCAGAAUAAGCACCGGCUAACUCUGUGCCAGCAGCCGCGGUAAUACAGAGGGUGCGAGCGUUAAUCGGAAUUACUGGGCGUAAAGCGAGUGUAGGUGGCUCAUUAAGUCACAUGUGAAAUCCCCGGGCUUAACCUGGGAACUGCAUGUGAUACUGGUGGUGCUAGAAUAUGUGAGAGGGAAGUAGAAUUCCAGGUGUAGCGGUGAAAUGCGUAGAGAUCUGGAGGAAUACCGAUGGCGAAGGCAGCUUCCUGGCAUAAUAUUGACACUGAGAUUCGAAAGCGUGGGUAGCAAACAGGAUUAGAUACCCUGGUAGUCCACGCCGUAAACGAUGUCUACUAGCCGUUGGGGUCCUUGAGACUUUAGUGGCGCAGUUAACGCGAUAAGUAGACCGCCUGGGGAGUACGGCCGCAAGGUUAAAACUCAAAUGAAUUGACGGGGGCCCGCACAAGCGGUGGAGCAUGUGGUUUAAUUCGAUGCAACGCGAAGAACCUUACCUGGUCUUGACAUAGUGAGAAUCCUGCAGAGAUGCGGGAGUGCCUUCGGGAAUUCACAUACA
RNAcentral lists this ribosomal RNA (946 nucleotides) under Enhydrobacter aerosaccus. RNAcentral describes it as "bacterial SSU rRNA". It matches the Rfam family "Bacterial small subunit ribosomal RNA", at positions 89 to 1036 of the family's 1533-position model. Lineage: Bacteria; Pseudomonadati; Pseudomonadota; Alphaproteobacteria; Hyphomicrobiales. The record is from RNAcentral.